RNAcentral lists this ribosomal RNA (285 nucleotides) under uncultured phototrophic eukaryote. RNAcentral describes it as "partial 16S ribosomal RNA". It matches the Rfam family "Bacterial small subunit ribosomal RNA", at positions 1044 to 1339 of the family's 1533-position model. The record is from RNAcentral.
UAUGGCUGUNGUCAGCUCGUGUCGUGAGAUGUUGGGUUAAGUCCCGCAACGAGCGCAACCCUCAUUUUUAGUUGCCUUAUGGAACUCUAGAAAGACUGCCGGUUAUAAACCGGAGGAAGGCGGGGAUGACGUCAAGUCAGCAUGCCCCUUACACCCUGGGCUACACACGUGCUACAAUGGGCGAGACAAUGAGAUGCAAAUCUGCGAAGACUAGCUAAUCUAAAAACUCGUUUUAAGUUCGGAUUGUAGGCUGCAACUCGCCUGCAUGAAGUUGGAAUCGCUAGU